RNAcentral lists this non-coding RNA (214 nucleotides) under Pseudoflavonifractor capillosus. Lineage: Bacteria; Bacillati; Bacillota; Clostridia; Eubacteriales; Oscillospiraceae. The record is from RNAcentral.
UGUGGUUUCCGUUGCCUGUGUAAUCAUAUGCGGGCGCGGAAAGUGAACAAGGGAACCGGGUGUGAAUCCCGGACGGUAACCGCCGCUGUAAGCGCUGAGGCCGUAUCCGUUGGUGAAAGCCAGUCAUUGGGGAAACCUGAGAAGGCAGGAUAUGGACGCAGGAGAAUCCUCCAUAAGCGUAAGUCAGAAGACCUACAAAGGAAAAAUCUGUUGU